UUGUCAGAAGUCUAAAAGCUGGAACUGACACUGAGAAGUGAAUAUGUUCUAUGAACGGUAUAUCUUUCAAUAGAUCCUAACUUCCUGUCGGGUGAAAUAACAUCAUUCAGAAUGUUCUAGCUACCAUCCAUUUUAGGAAAGCUACAUCUUGAACUGUAAGGGUCGUCGUUGGGACUAAUGAAGGGGUGUGUCUAUUGAUAUUGAGAGACCAUGUCAUUAUAUCUACUGUACUAUGGUGGGUUAGGAAAAGAUCUGACCACUCUGUGCAACUCACAUAUUUUUCUAUAAUGAAAACUGUGUACAGAAAUAUUUUAAAAGUGUGUUUUUUUAACAUGGUUGUUUAAUGUGACUGAUAGUUACUUUUGCCUUAAAUUGUAUUUUGUUGUCGUGUAGAAUUAUGAAAAUUACAAUAUUAUCCUAAUUGCUUGACCAAAGUAGAAGUUUGACAUUCAUGAGAAGGUGUGUUGUAUCGACUUGAUAUUUUGUCUUGUAUACAUUUGAAGUAUAUUCUGAAAGGGAGUCAUGCGUCAUGCAUGCACUGUGAGUGUGUGUUAUUGUGUGUGUGUGUGUACGUUUCUGUAUAUUCAAGUAUUAAGUAUUUAUGGUGUAAAUACCUGUAGCUCCAAUAUGCUCCUGAGCACAACAAGUAAAGACCAUGUAUUCUGGAGGAAGAAGUCAAAGGUUGGUCAGUGUUGCCUGUUCUUCAAGGCAGGAGUAGUAUUGUGUUCUUCAGGGCAGGAGUAGUAUUGUGUUCUUCAAGGCAGGAGUAGUACUGUGUUCUUCAAGGCAGGAGUAGUAUUGUGUUCUUCAAGGCAGGAGUAGUAGUGUGUUCUUCAAGGCAGG
Molecule: long non-coding RNA, 843 nt
Organism: Oncorhynchus tshawytscha (Chinook salmon)
Lineage: Eukaryota; Metazoa; Chordata; Actinopteri; Salmoniformes; Salmonidae
Source: Ensembl